This 253-nucleotide ribosomal RNA is filed under the name uncultured bacterium. RNAcentral describes it as "partial 16S ribosomal RNA". It matches the Rfam family "Bacterial small subunit ribosomal RNA", at positions 524 to 776 of the family's 1533-position model. The record is from RNAcentral.
UACAGAGGUCUCAACCGUUGUUCGGAUUCAUUGGGCGUAAAGCGUGCGCAGGCGGUGAGCUGUGUCCGAUGUGAAAGCCCCGGGCUUAACCUGGGAAUGGCAUUGGAAACUGGCUCGCUGGAGUGUGGCAGAGGGGGGUGGAAUUCCGCGUGUAGCAGUGAAAUGCGUAGAGAUGCGGAGGAACACCGAUGGCGAAGGCAGCCCCCUGGGCUAACACUGACGCUCAGGCACGAAAGCGUGGGGAGCAAACAGG